RNAcentral lists this ribosomal RNA (501 nucleotides) under uncultured bacterium. Its description in RNAcentral is "bacterial SSU rRNA". It matches the Rfam family "Bacterial small subunit ribosomal RNA", at positions 28 to 521 of the family's 1533-position model. The record is from RNAcentral.
GACGAACGCUGGCGGCGUGGAUUAGGCAUGCAAGUCGAACGGUAUCAUCCUUUCGGGGGUGAGAGAGUGGCGAACUGGUGAGUAACACGUAGGUUAUCUACCCUCAAGACGGGGACAACCCAGGGAAACUUGGGCUAAUACCGGAUGUGAGCAACUUUUAGUGUUUGAAAGGUGGCGUAAGCUGUCGCUUGGGGAUGAGCCUGCGUCCUAUUAGUUAGUUGGUGAGGUAACGGCUCACCUAGGCAAUGAUAGGUAGGCGGCCUUAACGGGUGGUCGCCCACACUGGGAUUGAGAUACGGCCCAGACUCCUACGGGAGGCAGCAGUCGAGAAUAGUCUACAAUGGUCGGAAGACUGAUAGUGCGACGCCGCGUGAACGAUGAAUCCCUUCGGGGUGUAAAGUUCUUUUAUAUGUGAGCAGUGCUUCUUAUAUUAACAGUAUGGGGAGAGAGAUAUUAGCAUAUGAAUAAGCAACGGCUAAACUCCGUGCCAGCAGCCGCGGU